Molecule: ribosomal RNA, 1958 nt
Filed under: marine metagenome
Description: bacterial LSU rRNA
Rfam family: Bacterial large subunit ribosomal RNA
Source: RNAcentral
GUAAGUGAAUAAGGGCGCACGGGGGAUGCCUAGGCUCUCAGAGGCGAAGAAGGACGUGAUAAGCUGCGAAAAGCUACGGGGAUUGGCCAAUGCGAAUUGAUCCGUAGAUAUCCGAAUGGGGCAACCCAGCCCGCCUCGGCGGGCUAUUCCGCAAGGAAAGCGAACGUGGGGAACUGAAACAUCUAAGUACCCAUAGGAGGAGAAAAUAAUAAUGAUUCCGUAAGUAGUGGCGAGCGAAAGCGGAACAGCCCAAACCGCACAUGUUACGGCAUGUUCGGGGUUGUAGGACCUGUAUAAUCAAAGUCAAUCCGACGAGAAUAGCGUGGGAAAGCUAACCGAAGGGGGUGAGAGUCCCGUAUUGGAAGGACUGAUGGCGAGACGGGUAUCCUGAGUAGGUCGGGACCGGAGAAAUCCCGAUUGAAACUGCCGGCACCAUCCGGUAAGGCUAAAUACUCCUGAGAGACCGAUAGUGAACUAGUACCGUGAGGGAAAGGUGAAAAGUACUCCGAAUAGGAGGGUGAAAUAGAACCUGAAACCGUGCGCUUACAAGCGGUCGGAGCUGCGCGAUGCAGUGACGGCGUGCCUUUUGCAUAAUGAGCCUACGAGUUACUCCUCAUCGGCAAGGGUAAGGUAUUCAGUACCGUACCCGGAGCGAAAGCGAGUCUGAAAGGGCGAUUGAGUCGGUGGGGGUAGACGCGAAACCUAGUGAUCUACCCAUGGCCAGGUUGAAGUUGUGGUAACACACAAUGGAGGACCGAACCGAUAAGCGUUGAAAAGCUUCCGGAUGAGCUGUGGGUAGGGGUGAAAGGCUAAUCAAACUGGGAAAUAGCUCGUACUCCCCGAAAUGUUUUUAGGAACAGCGUCGGGAAUUGUAUGAUGGAGGUAGAGCUACCGAUAGGACUAGGGGGAGUCAAAUCCUACCAAAUCCUGACGAACUCCGAAUGCCAUCAUAUAGAACCGGCAGUGAGGGCUUGGGUGCUAAGGUCCAAGUCCGAGAGGGAAAGAACCCAGACCUUCCGCUAAGGUCCCCAAAUCUAGAUUAAGUUGAACAAAGGUGGUCCAGUUGCAGAGACAGCCAGGAGGUUAGCUUGGAAGCAGCUAUUCCGUUAAAGAGUGCGUAACAGCUCACUGGUCGAGCGACAGGGCGUCGAUAAUAAUCGGGCAUCAAAUCUAGUACCGAAGCGAAGGAUUCGACUUCAAUUUAUUGGAGCGAGUGGUAGGGGAGCAUUCCAACGACAGUGAAGGUAUGGCGUCAGCCGUGCUGGAGUUUUUGGAAAAGCAAAUGUAGGCAUAAGUAACGAUAAUGCGGGCGAGAAACCCGCACACCGUAAGACCCAGGUUUCCUGAUCAACGUUAAUCGGAUCAGGGUUAGUCGGGACCUAACGCGAACCCGAGAGGGGUAGUGGAUGGACAAUGGGUUAAUAUUCCCAUACUAUUUAUACAGGUGAUGGAGUGACGGAGUGAUGAAAGAUCCGCCCGGUGACGGAAUACCGGGUUAAAGGUAGUAGGUAUUGGCUGCAUAGUUAAAUGCGUGCGGCUAGCCGAAGCUGAUAGUACUGAGCGUUUUCGGACAAUCAGAUAGUGAUCCUAAGGGCUUCCAAGAAAAACUUCUAGCGUUAAGCGUAUAGAUACCCGUACCGCAAACCGACACAGGUGGUCGAGGAGAGUAUCCUAAGGUGCUCGAGUGAAUCAUGGCUAAGGAACUCGGCAAAAUAGCCCUGUAACUUCGGGAGAAGGGGCGCCCUCAGCAAUGAGGGCCGCAGUGAAGAGGCCCAGGCGACUGUUUAACAAAAACACAUGGCUUUGCAAAGUUUAACGACUAAGUAUAAGGCCUGACACCUGCCCGGUGCUGGAAGGUUAAGAGGGGAUGUUAUCGCAAGAGAAGCAUUGAAUCGAAGCCCCAGUAAACGGCGGCCGUAACUAUAACGGUCCUAAGGUAGCGAAAUUCCUUGUCGGGU